This 874-nucleotide long non-coding RNA is filed under the name Homo sapiens (human). RNAcentral describes it as "non-protein coding lnc-UGP2-2:1". Lineage: Eukaryota; Metazoa; Chordata; Mammalia; Primates; Hominidae. The record is from RNAcentral.
AGUUUUACUUCAAGUUUUUAUUCUCCCCACUGCUGCCUGUUUUUGUCUUAUUGCAAUAACUAGGACCUUCAUUAACACUGUUGAGUACAAGUUGUAAGGGUGGGCCUUCACUCUUGGUUACUGAUCUGAGGGGAAAAGCAUUCAAUGUAUGUUCAUUAAGUGUGAGGUUAGCUCUAGGUUUUUGUGAAAGUUCCCUUCUAUUCCUAGUUAGCUAAAAGUGUUCUUAUAAUUGGGUGAUGGAUUUUGAAAAAUGUUAUUUCUGCAUCUAUGGAAAUGAUCUUAUGUUUUUUUUCUUCAUUAUUCUGUUAAUGUGGUUAUAGUGAUAAAUUUGUGGGUGUUAAACCAAUCUUACAUUUUUGUGACAUACCCUUCUUGGUCACUGUAUAUUAUUACUGAUAUAUAUUGCUGCAAUCAAUGCAUUAAGUUUUCAAAGAUUUUUAUGUCUAUGUUCAUGGAAAAUAUUGGUAGGCAAAUUUUUUUCUGGUAAUUUCUUUGUUAGGUUUUAGUAUCAGAGUUAUGGUGGCCUCCAUUAUGGCUAUUUAUUUGUGCCAAAAAAUUGCUGUUAGAAGUUGUUUUUAAAAAUAGAAUCUUUAAGUGGUACAUUAAAUCCAGCUGGCUUCAAACGGUACAGGGUGGUGGUGUUGGGGGGAGGGUCACAGAUGGCCAGAUCUCUAGGGAAUUCUAUGACCUCAGUGAUGACUGACUAAAAUUCCUGGACUUUUCCUGGACUUUUCUUGUGAGAGGAAUUCUACAGUUGAUAAUUAUUGAUAAUUAUCAAUUCUUGUUCCCUGAUAGUUAUUGUUAUUACUUUUUAUUGAGGUAAAAUUCACAUAAGAUAAAGUUAUUUUGAAGUGUGCAAUUCAGUGACUUUGAG